UGUUGCCGUUUUAUCACGGCUCGUCUUAAAUGCUUGAGUGUACCCUGUUUUGCAGCGUAUCCAGUGUAAUAAACAUUUCACUAGAGUUGGUCGAAAGACCGCGUUUUGCCAUUCGGGCUCUAUGCUUCGAACCGUCCACUUGUGGACAAUUUCUUGACAAUUUGACCUCAAAUCGGGUGGGACUACCCGCUGAACUUAAGCAUAUCAAUAAGCGGAGGAAAAGAAACUAACAAGGAUUCCCCUAGUAACGGCGAGUGAAGAGGGAAAAGCUCAAAUUUUGAAUCUGGUGUCUUUGACUCCCGAGUUGUAAUCUAGAGAAGUGUUUUCCGUGUCGGACCGUGUACAAGUUCCCUGGAACGGGGCGUCAUAGAGGGUGAGAAUCCCGUAUAUGCCACGGACUACCGAUGCUCUGUGAUACACUCUCAACGAGUCGAGUUGUUUGGGAAUGCAGCUCAAAAUGGGUGGUAAAUUCCAUCUAAAGCUAAAUAUUGGCGAGAGACCGAUAGCGAACAAGUACCGUGAGGGAAAGAUGAAAAGCACUUUGGAAAGAGAGUGAAACAGUACGUGAAAUUGUUGAAAGGGAAGCGUUUGAAGUCAGUCGCAUCUGUUGGGGUUCAGCCUGGCUUUUGCCUGGUGUAUUUCCUUUCCGAUGGGUCAGCAUCAGUUUCGACCGAGGGAAAAAGACAUUUGGAAUGUGGCUGUCUUCGGGCAGUGUUAUAGCCUUGUGUUGUAUGUCUCGGUUGGGACUGAGGAUUGCAGCGCGCCAUAAAUGGCCGGGGGUCGCUCCUCUCGACACGCGCUUAGGAUGCUGGCAUAAUGGCUUUAAGCGACC
This 832-nucleotide ribosomal RNA is filed under the name uncultured Sebacinales. RNAcentral describes it as "eukaryotic LSU rRNA". The stretch from base 163 to 832 matches the Rfam family "Eukaryotic large subunit ribosomal RNA", at positions 1 to 649 of the family's 3401-position model. The record is from RNAcentral. Lineage: Eukaryota; Fungi; Basidiomycota; Agaricomycetes; Sebacinales.